CCAUUUCAUUUUCUUUCAAUGCUUUCUUUAAUCAUUUUAUCUCCUCCUCUUCUCUGUUCCUCACAACCACAUAUUCUUCUUCUUCUUCAUUUUGACAGAAACACAAAGCUGUGUUACGGGCGGCCUCACAGAUCCCAUCUUCAAAUCUGUCAAAUCUUCACCAAAUGAAUUGGGUAUGGAAGGAGUAGGUGACGAAAUCGGCUAUCAUCAUCACACGAAAGAUUUCGAAUUUGGCUUUGUGUAAUCACCUCUCCCAUGAUUCCAGAGCUGAAAUCAUAGCUGGGUAUCUCUUGAUUUCGAGCAAAUCCCGUUUUAUUAGAACUGUUUGGAGGCUGGGUAACCCUUAAUUUCUCAUUGUGCGCGGCUCAACAAACUGCAGCGGUUAUUCCUGCAGGUCAGGACCACCAGGGUUGAGAUCGAGGCAAGGAGUGCAGCAGUGUUAGGUUCAUAACCUAUUUUUGUUAGCGUACUGCUGUUUUUGGUAUGCUCCUAGAGAGCGUGUACAUUUGUAUAUCAGUUCUCUCGAGUUUUGUACACACUUGUUGAUGUGAUAUUCGACUUAAGUGAUCGAGUCUUUAUUGACGUU
Rosa rugosa (rugosa rose) is the source of this 586-nucleotide long non-coding RNA. RefSeq lists it as uncharacterized. The record is from RefSeq and is a predicted model, not a curated record. Lineage: Eukaryota; Viridiplantae; Streptophyta; Magnoliopsida; Rosales; Rosaceae. The transcript is spliced from 3 exons.